GCUUCUUUUUCCCCGGAGCUUGCUCCACCGGAAAAAGAAGAGUGGCGAACGGGUGAGUAACACGUGGGUAACCUGCCCAUCAGAAGGGGAUAACACUUGGAAACAGGUGCUAAUACCGUAUAACAAUCGAAACCGCAUGGUUUUGAUUUGAAAGGCGCUUUCGGGUGUCGCUGAUGGAUGGACCCGCGGUGCAUUAGCUAGUUGGUGAGGUAACGGCUCACCAAGGCCACGAUGCAUAGCCGACCUGAGAGGGUGAUCGGCCACAUUGGGACUGAGACACGGCCCAAACUCCUACGGGAGGCAGCAGUAGGGAAUCUUCGGCAAUGGACGAAAGUCUGACCGAGCAACGCCGCGUGAGUGAAGAAGGUUUUCGGAUCGUAAAACUCUGUUGUUAGAGAAGAACAAGGAUGAGAGUAACUGUUCAUCCCUUGACGGUAUCUAACCAGAAAGCCACGGCUAACUACGUGCCAGCAGCCGCGGUAAUACGUAGGUGGCAAGCGUUGUCCGGAUUUAUUGGGCGUAAAGCGAGCGCAGGCGGUUUCUUAAGUCUGAUGUGAAAGCCCCCGGCUCAACCGGGGAGGGUCAUUGGAAACUGGGAGACUUGAGUGCAGAAGAGGAGAGUGGAAUUCCAUGUGUAGCGGUGAAAUGCGUAGAUAUAUGGAGGAACACCAGUGGCGAAGGCGGCUCUCUGGUCUGUACUGACGCUGAGCUCGAAGCGUGGGAGCA
This 726-nucleotide ribosomal RNA is filed under the name uncultured bacterium. RNAcentral describes it as "bacterial SSU rRNA". It matches the Rfam family "Bacterial small subunit ribosomal RNA", at positions 68 to 770 of the family's 1533-position model. The record is from RNAcentral.